UAGGGAAUAUUGCACAAUGGGGGAAAGCCCUGAUGUAGCGACGCCGCGUGAAGGAAGAAGUAUCUCGGUAUGUAAACUUCUAUCAGCAGGGAAGACAAUGACGGUACCUGACUAAGAAGCCCCGGCUAACUACGUGCCAGCAGCCGCGGUAAUACGUAGGGGGCAAGCGUUAUCCGGAUUUACUGGGUGUAAAGGGAGCGUAGACGGCUGAGCAAGUCAGAAGUGAAAGCCCGGGGCUCAACCCCGGGAGCUGCUUUGGAAAUCUGUCAGGCUAGAGUGCUGGAGAGGUAAGUGGAAUUCCUAGUGUAGCGGUGAAAUGCGUAGAUAUUAGGAGGAACACCAGUGGCGAAGGCGGCUUACUGGACGGUAACUGACGUUGAGGCUCGAAAGCGUGGGGAGCAAACAGGAUUAGAUACC
RNAcentral lists this ribosomal RNA (417 nucleotides) under uncultured bacterium. RNAcentral's name for it is "bacterial SSU rRNA". It matches the Rfam family "Bacterial small subunit ribosomal RNA", at positions 355 to 786 of the family's 1533-position model. The record is from RNAcentral.